Long non-coding RNA from Myodes glareolus (Bank vole), 3510 nucleotides. RefSeq lists it as uncharacterized. NCBI's taxonomy places the organism in Eukaryota, Metazoa, Chordata, Mammalia, Rodentia, Cricetidae. The record is from RefSeq and is a predicted model, not a curated record.
UUAAAGUGGUGGUCUUCCCUCUGCAGGGCCAAUACCAGGAUGACAUCCUCCGUGUUUCGUUUUUCCUUUGGCCCUCCCUCAUCAGAGGGCUUUCCCAGAGACCUCUUCACUUCCGGCUUUUGUUUGAUGUUCUCCAUAUAAGAGUGGUCAGGAUUGUGGACGUUAUGGAUGGGAGAUUUCAGAAAGUCGGCUUCUCUCCUCCUCCACUGGUCGGCUACUGAGGAAUGCUGUUGGGACAUACAGGAGCCAUGCAAUCUACUUAAUGGAACUUCACGCUUCUGCAAGAGCUGGAUAAAGUCCUGCUCCCUCACUACCCAGCCCUCACUUCAAAUCCAUGAGGACAGACUACUUCCUUGGGUUUUGAUAUUCUACUAAACAAUGCUGAAGAGAAGUUCUCUUGAGUUGUACUUGGAGCUAAGUAACUUGUGUGUACCUGCUUGGUGCUGGAAAUAGAUCCCAGGUGCUGUGAAGCUAAGGACUCGGGCACACUAGUGACAUAUCUCUGGCAGCUAUGGACUCUAAGAGCCAUUCUAGUAACCCCUUUCAAGACAGAAGAAGCCAGGAUGGUGGUGAUUGCAGCGUGACUCGGCGACACGUGAUGAAGUGAAGACAUGUAGAGAUCUGACCCGCCUUCAGGAAAGACCUCGGCCUCUCACCCAUCCUCAAAUAAACAGAAAGGAGGGCAAAAGGCAGGGCUGACGGCACAUCCAGGACUCUGUCGUCUCUGUCCAUCGGCUUUGUUUCUCCAAUCCUGUCAUCUGCUGCACCUUCUCUGACGUCAGCAAAUCCCACAAUUGGUGAAUCUCUGCGCAUGUGUACAUGUGAGAAGCUUGGCUUCCCCAAAAACACGUUAGUGGAGUUGGGAGGUGGGCCUUUUAGAACUGAUUAGCAUUAGAUGAGAUUGCAAGACUGGCCCCCAUGAUGACUCUGGGCCUGAAUAAGAGGAAGGAGAGCGACCUCCCAACCUGACCACUUGCUUGCUCAUCUCAGUGUGGAACAGCACAUCAAGAAGUCCUUUGCCAGCUGUUGGGGCAGAUGUCAACAUCCUGAUAGACUCCCUAGUCUCCAGAACUCUAGAACUCCAGCCAACAAGAUGGCUCAGAGGGUGAGGCCCUCCAGGUACAGAAACAAGGGGAACGCACUGAAUUCAGCAAGUUAUUGACAGGCGGCGGCGGAGGAAAUCUGCACAUUACUGCCGUAUUGUCGUCUGUGGCAAAAGACUAGAGUCCAGAGGCCCGGGGGCAAGCAAGGACACCGAGGGGAAGGAGGCCUUCCCUUGUUCCGCCCAAGUGCCACGAAAAGGCUACAGAAGGGAAUUGCUGUGUGAGCUGUGGUCUGGGGAUGAGAAACCAAGAGGUACAGGUGCCUCCAAGCAAACACAGCAACAGUACCAAGCCUGGAGCGGUGAGGGUCCGCAAGGGUGCUGUCAGACUGAGCAUGGUCAGGGUCACAGGCCUCCUCGAGAGCAAUUUCCCCGGGAACCACAUCUACACAUGUACAGAACAAGCAGACAUGUCCACAGGACAGCCAGCCAAAACCCUGCCGGCUCUGAGAGCACCGCCUUCCCGAGUCUUCCCCACGACCACGCUGGUAUUAUAGUAAGCAUUUACUCGUGGGCAAAGCAUGGGCAAGCCCAAUUUAGCCCUCCCCGCUACCCCAGAAAUCUGCACUGUGUGUGUGCACCCCAUCUUACACAGGAGGAGGGAACCUUAGCCAUCGAAAUAACCGCAGUAAAUAAGUACAGAGCCCAUCAUAGUCCAGGGAAUGACUAAACCGUACAUCCUUAACCAUGGCUGACAAGAGCACUGUGAGACACGGUUGUCCACGAGAGGCUGUGUGAUGUCACUUUGGUGGCCUCAGGACCCUUGCUCAUCAGAAUCACUUACUUUUGCCGAAUAUUAUCGUAAGCUGAAAAGAAACUUUACCAUCUGUCUACAAUUGACUAAAUGCUAUUUGGGAGAGGGGCUCUCAGCCCUCGCUAAGUCACUAGCCCUGGUAAGUUAUUCCUGGUCCCAGCUGGGCCCCACACACAGAUUUCUCCUUUUCACAGAAGAUCCACCUUUUACCUCCUUCAGAUGAUGGCGCACCAGUUCUGUGCUUAUGUUUCUGACCUUGGGCACUGGUAUUUUUGUCAACCAUGAGGGACAAGCUGUAAAUCAGUGGUUCUCGUCUUCCUAAUGCUGCAAACUUUUAAUAUGGUUCCUCCUGCUGUGGUGACCCCCGGUCAUAAAGUUAUUUUUGCUGCAACUUCAUAGCUGUAAUUUUACAACUGUUAUGACUCGUAAUACAAAUAUGUGAUAAGCGGCCCCCAAAAGGGUCACAACCCACAGGUUGAGAACCGAUGUUCUCAACUAAACACAGGCAAGUUUUACUAAGAGCCUUGUGCUAGUUAGCGCCAGGGUUCAGCUCUACUGUGAGGUACAUCUGGAAUGUUCUCCCCAAAGUUCAUAUGUUAAGGGCCUGCCUCCCAGCUUGGGAAUCUUGAGAAGAACUAGAAACCGUCAGGCCUUAGGACCUGGUGGGAGGCUCUUGGGAGGGUUCAGAUGUGAACCAUCCCUUGCAAGCUCGGGAGUUUGACUCCCAGCUGGUGGUGCUGAUGUGAGAGGUGACAGAUUCUCCAGGGGAUGAACCUAGUACUACAGGCCAGCUGCUGGGAGCUGAGCAAGAGGGUUAGCUCUUCUGUCUACUCUCAACUUGUUGAUCUACCAGCCACACCCUAGGCUUCCACAGCCAUUCCUUCAUUGUAAGCCAAGAUUAAUCCCCACCCCCCGCCCAAGUUGCUUUCAUCAGAUAUUUUGCACACAUAGAUGCAACAGUAACUUACGCAUGGGCUCAUGACAGGUAGAGUGUGCUCUCCCAGGGUCUAUUCCUCAGUCCUUUACUUCCUGGGCAUGUGGUGAGCAGUUUGACUUCAUAGUGAUGUCCCACGUUGCCACAGGCAACAGGACUAACUCAAUGUGAACAGGAACAUCCAGAAACAUAAGCCAAAAUAAGCCUGUCUCUUUGUAAGUUGAUUAUCUCAGCUCUUUGCUGUAAUUAACUAACAUAAGCCCCAAACAAUAAACCUCCUCUAAACAGAUAUUUGUAGGAAUUAGGGGGUCUUGUUUACUUCUGUCACAAAGAAUCUGGCAGUUGGAGAUCCAGAAAGAGGAUGGUGACCCACAGUGUAGCAGACACUCAGAAUCCUUGCAUAUUUCUGCUAAUUCUUUCUUAAACAGCACCUGGUCUCUCGUGAACACUAGAACGCUGCGAGGGCUCCAGCCAUCACAUCUAAGUCCCAGACACAAGAGUGGGAAGAACAAGGUCUAAACAGUUGCCUCAUGAACUGACACCCUCUCAUGCACACUAAAGGUAGUUCGUCUGGGAAGUUCCACAUGACUUCUACAUAGAUCACUAAACAAAAUUCCAUCAUGCCUAACAGCAAAGGAAGCUAGGAAAUCUCAGAUUGUUGUGGUAUUUUUUUUUUGUUUCUUUUAAUUGUUUGUAUUGAGCUAUAUAUUUUUCUCUGCU